RNA transcript from Biomphalaria glabrata, 2046 nucleotides. It is a transcript of the gene named short transient receptor potential channel 6-like, with no coding region annotated. The transcript has 8 exons. The record is from RefSeq and is a predicted model, not a curated record. Lineage: Eukaryota; Metazoa; Mollusca; Gastropoda; Planorbidae.
AAUAAAAUGGCCCGCAGGUCGAAUUAGGUUGGGCAUCACUGGUGUAACAGAUACUGGUAUUGACUGCCAAAAAUAGGUGGAUGGUUGAAAUGCGUCCAGUUUAUUAGAAGUUUAAAAGGAGAGAAUGUUCCGGCAUAACUAGACAGUCACAGAUUCCUUAAAUAAGCCAACAUGUGAGAUAAAUGGUUGAAGCAAUGAAAAGAGGGAAAGGAUGGACCCCUGAUGGGUAUGACUUUGUGGACAGCACACAUUUUAUUGAUGCAAACUUUGAUGAUAUAAUGAAAAAUCUGAAACCCUCAGCUAUUCCUACAAUAUUUCAGUGUCAUAACGAUGCAGCUUCCUGGCCAGUUAAAAAGAAGGAAAAAUAAAGUCUUAAGGUGAAAGAAGAAAUUGUACAAUUCAAAGAGACUUCUGAUAUAUUAUAAAGAGAAAGUUCAAUGUUUACGAGAGGAGUUAUAGAAAAGCCAACCUCACCUAAAAAGGUUAUAAUGGGAUGAACAAAUGCAUGCUGUGAUGGAUCACCAGGGAUGAACAAAUGCAUGCUGUAAUGAAUCACCAGGGAUAAGCAAAUGCAUGCUGUAAUGGAUCACCAGGGAUGAGCAAAUGCAUGCUGUGAUGGAUCACCAGUGAUGAACAUAUGCAUGCUGUAAUGGAUCACCUGGGAUGAACAAAUGCAUGCUGUAAUGGAUCACCUGGGAUGAACAAAUGCAUGCUGUAAUGGAUCACCAUUAAUGGAUGCUGACAGCUGCCAUGUCAUGAUUGCCUUUAUAUGUGGACAAAUAAGCCUAUACAGUAUUUCCAAGAAUGAGAACUUUGCAGGGUAAAGUCAUUUGACUUACAAGCCUCUUAGAGACCACUGGGACAUUGUUCUGGGCUGCCUUUGGUAUGGGGAACUCUCAGGCACCAGCUAUUAAAGAAGAAACAAAUAGCAGUCAGGUUAAUGGUGGCUCAGAGAUAAGAGACAGUGUGCUGCUGAAAGUCAUUGAGGUGGUUGGCUACGUUUUGUAUGGAGUUUACAUUCUUGAUGCUGUCGUGGUCCUGAUCAACUUGUUCAUUGCUAUGAUGAAUUUGAAGACAUUUAGAAUGUCCAAAAGAUAAGUCAGCUAAGGAGCCUAAAAUGUUAGCCUGUUUACAAAUAUGAGAUCUUCCUUGACUACACAAGUACCUUACAAAAGAAGGCUACUCACUUGUGUUUGGAUAUGUCAGCUGUUUUGUCCCUGUGGCCCUUUUCAAGCAUGACAGAUACUAUUCUAAGCAGCUUUUUUCUCUGGAAAUUUUUCAACCACGGAAGCUGUGAGGGAUAUCUGAAAUCCAUUGCUUACUUGUCUAGAAAGACUUCCAUCGAUUGAGUGAUAAAAGAUUAAGUGUACACAACUUUUAGUAGUCACCACAUAACACUUAACAUUUUGCUGCUCAAGACAAUACUGUUCAUGAAUGGUUUAUUUUUCUUUAUGCUGAGAGUGUCCAAGAAAGAUAAGGUCAAAGGUUAAUUGGACAAACAAUAAACUUUGUCUUUGAAUCUGAAAUUGUAGAACUUGUAGAGAAAAAAAACAACUUAGUGUUGUUGUUAAUUUACCAGGUACCAGGUACCUACUAUUCAUUUACUUUGACUGUUGACUUUAAGUUAGAAAUUAAGGAAAGAUUUCUUUGAGCUAUAUUUGUCAAUGACCAUAGGCAUUAAGAGAGUUGACACCUCAUUUUACUUUUCAACAAGAUGAUGUCUUAAAAAAAUUAAGAGCUUUUGAUGGAAUUCUGUGGUUGAAUAACAUAAGGAAUAAUCACAGGAUUCCAUCAAAAUCAUUGCAAUUUGAACAUUGUUGGUAGUGUCGAUGUUAUUAAGUUUUUUAGUUCUUGGUGUUACUACAUUAUUCAUUUUCUAGUGACCAGGCAGUGUUUUAUACCAUGAAUGAAUAUGUUGUAAGAGGUUUAAGGUAUACCACUCAAUCAAUAAUAUCUUUGACAAUAAAAUAUUUUGAUCAAGUUUAUAUUUUUGGAACAGAAUAUGCUAAUGUGUUAAAUGUACAUUUUUCUUUUUUUUAUGGAAUA